GACGAACGCUGGCGGCGUGCUUAACACAUGCAAGUCGAACGGAAAGGCCCUGCUUUUGUGGGGUGCUCGAGUGGCGAACGGGUGAGUAACACGUGAGUAACCUGCCCUUGACUUUGGGAUAACUUCAGGAAACUGGGGCUAAUACCGGAUAGGAGCUCCUGCUGCAUGGUGGGGGUUGGAAAGUUUCGGCGGUUGGGGAUGGACUCGCGGCUUAUCAGCUUGUUGGUGGGGUAGUGGCUUACCAAGGCUUUGACGGGUAGCCGGCCUGAGAGGGUGACCGGCCACAUUGGGACUGAGAUACAGCCCAGACUCCUACGGGAGGCAGCAGUGGGGAAUAUUGCACAAUGGGCGGAAGCCUGAUGCAGCAACGCCGCGUGCGGCAUGACGGCCUUCGGGUUGUAAACCGCUUUCGCCUGUGACGAAGCGUGAGUGACGGUAAUGGGUAAAGAAGCACCGGCUAACUACGUG
This 468-nucleotide ribosomal RNA is filed under the name uncultured bacterium. RNAcentral's name for it is "partial 16S ribosomal RNA". It matches the Rfam family "Bacterial small subunit ribosomal RNA", at positions 28 to 507 of the family's 1533-position model. The record is from RNAcentral.